RNAcentral lists this ribosomal RNA (466 nucleotides) under uncultured bacterium. Its description in RNAcentral is "partial 16S ribosomal RNA". It matches the Rfam family "Bacterial small subunit ribosomal RNA", at positions 29 to 507 of the family's 1533-position model. The record is from RNAcentral.
AUGAACGCUGACAGAAUGCUUAACACAUGCAAGUCAACUUGAAUUUGGGUUUUUAACUUAGGUUUGGGUGGCGGACGGGUGAGUAACGCGUAAAGAACUUGCCUCACAGCUAGGGACAACAUUUGGAAACGAAUGCUAAUACCUAAUAUUAUGAUAAUAGGGCAUCCUAUAAUUAUGAAAGCUAUAAGCGCUGUGAGAGAGCUUUGCGUCCCAUUAGCUAGUUGGAGAGGUAACGGCUCGCCAAGGCGAUGAUGGGUAGCCGGCCUGAGAGGGUGAUCGGCCACAAGGGGACUGAGACACGGCCCUUACUCCUACGGGAGGCAGCAGUGGGGAAUAUUGAACAAUGGACCAAGAGUCUGAUCCAGCAAUUCUGUGUGCACGAUGAAGUUUUUCGGAAUGUAAAGUGCUUUCAGUUGGGAAGAAAGAAAUGACGGUACCAACAGAAGAAGUGACGGCUAAAUACGUG